CUGCGGAAGGAUCAUUGUCGAAUCCUGGCCCCGGAAAGACCGAGAACAAGUUACCAAAAACCCGGGGCGUGUGCAGGCGCGGGGAAACCUCGCCCGUCGGCUCCUGCACACAACCUAACUCCCGGCGCGGGAUGCGCCAAGGACUACUGAAACGGAUUGCCGUGUGCCCGGUGGCCCAAGCCGGUCGUAUGCAGCGUCUGGUCGUUCUAACCGAAACGACUCUCGGCAACGGAUAUCUAGGCUCUCGCAUUGAUGAAGAACGUAGCGAAAUGCGUUACUUGGUGUGAAUUGCAGAAUCCCGUGAAUCAUCGAGUUUUUGAACGCAAGUUGCGCCCGAAGCCAACAGGCUGAGGACACGUCUGCCUGGGCGUCACGCAUCGUGUCGCCACCGCCCCUCACCCGCACGUUCCGUUGCGUGCUCGGGCGGGGGUGACGGAUGUUGGCCUCCCGUGCCCCCCGCGGCACGGCCGGCCUAAAUGUGAGCCCCCGACGCGGGACGUCACGGCAACUGGUGGUUGAACUCCUCAAUCGUGUGCUGCCGAGACGACCCUCGACGGGAACUAAACGACCCCAGAGCUCGUCACGGGCCUCAGACUGUGACCCCAGGUCAGGCGGGAUUAC
RNAcentral lists this ribosomal RNA (621 nucleotides) under Pagamea anisophylla. RNAcentral's name for it is "eukaryotic LSU rRNA". The stretch from base 218 to 373 matches the Rfam family "5.8S ribosomal RNA". Lineage: Eukaryota; Viridiplantae; Streptophyta; Magnoliopsida; Gentianales; Rubiaceae. The record is from RNAcentral.